Molecule: ribosomal RNA, 497 nt
Filed under: uncultured bacterium
Lineage: Bacteria
Description: partial 16S ribosomal RNA
Rfam family: Bacterial small subunit ribosomal RNA
Source: RNAcentral
GAUGAACGCUGGCGGCGUGCCUAAUACAUGCAAGUCGAGCGAACGGACGAGAAGCUUGCUUUUCUGAUGUUAGCGGCGGACGGGUGAGUAACACGUGGAUAACCUACCUAUAAGACUGGGAUAACUUCGGGAAACCGGAGCUAAUACCGGAUAAUAUUUUGAACCGCAUGGUUCAAAAGUGAAAGACGGUCUUGCUGUCACUUAUAGAUGGAUCCGCGCUGCAUUAGCUAGUUGGUAAGGUAACGGCUUACCAAGACAACGAUGCAUAGCCGACCUGAGAGGGUGAUCGGCCACACUGGAACUGAGACACGGUCCAGACUCCUACGGGAGGCAGCAGUAGGGAAUCUUCCGCAAUGGGCGAAAGCCUGACGGAGCAACGCCGCGUGAGUGAUGAAGGUCUUCGGAUCGUAAAACUCUGUUAUUAGGGAAGAACAUAUGUGUAAGUAACUGUGCACAUCUUGACGGUACCUAAUCAGAAAGCCACGGCUAACUACGUG